AGGCAGCAGUGGGGGAAUAUUGCACAAUGGGCGCAAGCCUGAUGCAGCCAUGCCGCGUGUGUGAAGAAGGCCUUCGGGUUGUAAAGCACUUUCAGUCGUGAGGAAGGUAGUGUAGUUAAUAGCUGCAUUAUUUGACGUUAGCGACAGAAGAAGCACCGGCUAACUCCGUGCCAGCAGCCGCGGUAAUACGGAGGGUGCGAGCGUUAAUCGGAAUUACUGGGCGUAAAGCGCAUGCAGGUGGUUUGUUAAGUCAGAUGUGAAAGCCCGGGGCUCAACCUCGGAAUUGCAUUUGAAACUGGCAGACUAGAGUACUGUAGAGGGGGGUAGGAAUUUCAGGUGUAGCGGUGAAAUGCGUAGAGAUCUGAAGGAAUACCGGUGGCGAAGGCGGCCCCCUGGACAGAUACUGACACUCAGAUGCGAAAGCGUGGGGAGCAAACAGGAUUAGAUACCCUGGUAG
This 457-nucleotide ribosomal RNA is filed under the name uncultured bacterium. RNAcentral's name for it is "bacterial SSU rRNA". It matches the Rfam family "Bacterial small subunit ribosomal RNA", at positions 346 to 793 of the family's 1533-position model. The record is from RNAcentral.